UGGGGAAUAUUGGACAAUGGGCGGAAGCCUGAUCCAGCAACGCCGCGUGAGGGAUGACGGCCUUCGGGCUGUAAACCUCUUUCGCCUGCGACGAAGCGAGAGUGACGGUAGCAGGUAAAGAAGCACCGGCCAACUACGUGCCAGCAGCCGCGGUAAUACGUAGGGUGCGAGCGUUGUCCGGAAUUAUUGGGCGUAAAGGGCUCGUAGGCGGUUUGUCGCGUCGGGAGUGAAAACGCCGUGCUUAACACGGCGCUUGCUUUCGAUACGGGCAGACUAGAGGUAUUCAGGGGAGAACGGAAUUCCUGGUGUAGCGGUGAAAUGCGCAGAUAUCAGGAGGAACACCGGUGGCGAAGGCGGUUCUCUGGGAAUGACCUGACGCUGAGGAGCGAAAGUGUGGGGAGCGAACAGGAUUAGAUACCCUGGUAGUCCACACCAUAAACGUUGGGCGCUAGGUGUGGGGUCCAUUCCACGGAUUCCGUGCCGCAGCUAACGCAUUAAGCGCCCCGCCUGGGGAGUACGGCCGCAAGGCUAA
RNAcentral lists this ribosomal RNA (532 nucleotides) under uncultured Nocardioides sp. RNAcentral describes it as "bacterial SSU rRNA". It matches the Rfam family "Bacterial small subunit ribosomal RNA", at positions 355 to 897 of the family's 1533-position model. Lineage: Bacteria; Bacillati; Actinomycetota; Actinomycetes; Propionibacteriales; Nocardioidaceae. The record is from RNAcentral.